This 245-nucleotide ribosomal RNA is filed under the name uncultured bacterium. RNAcentral's name for it is "partial 16S ribosomal RNA". It matches the Rfam family "Bacterial small subunit ribosomal RNA", at positions 524 to 768 of the family's 1533-position model. The record is from RNAcentral.
GACGAACCGUACAAACGUUAUUCGGAAUUACUGGGCUUAAAGGGUGCGUAGGCGGCCCGGGAAGUUGGGUGUGAAAUACCUCGGCUCAACCGAGGAAUUGCGCUCAAAACUGCCGGGCUUGAGGAAGAUAGAGGUGGGCGGAACUUAGGGUGGAGCGGUGAAAUGCGUUGAUAUCCUAAGGAACACCGGUAGCGAAAGCGGCUCACUGGGUCUUCUCUGACGCUGAGGCACGAAAGCUAGGGGAG